GGAAUAUAAGACACCGUCUUUUAACUUGUAACUAAAAAGGCUAAGAGCCGGUUUUUAAAUAUCUUAUUUAUGAGCCGGUUUUUAGUUUUUUUAGUUAAAAAUUAAGAGACGAUUUAUUAUAUUCC
This is a non-coding RNA of Brassica napus (rape), 125 nucleotides long. The record is from Rfam. NCBI's taxonomy places the organism in Eukaryota, Viridiplantae, Streptophyta, Magnoliopsida, Brassicales, Brassicaceae.